GUGGGGAAUAUUGCGCAAUGGGCGAAAGCCUGACGCAGCGACGCCGCGUGGGGGAUGAAGCUUCUCGGAGUGUAAACCCCUUUCGACCCGGACGAAUGGCCCGCAAGGGCUUGACGGUACGGGUAUAAGAAGCCCCGGCUAACUACGUGCCAGCAGCCGCGGUAAGACGUGGGGGGCCAGCGUUGCUCGGAAUUACUGGGCGUAAAGGGUUCGUAGGCGGUGUGGCAAGUCGGAAGUGAAAUCUCCAGGCUUAACUUGGAGGCUGCUCCCGAAACUGCCAUGCUAGAGUGCGGGAGAGGCGAGUGGAAUUGCAGGUGUAGCGGUGAAAUGCGUAGAUAUCUGCAGGAACACCCGUGGCGAAGGCGGCUCGCUGGACCGCAACUGACGCUGAGGAACGAAAGCUAGGGGAGCAAACAGGAUUAGAAACCCGAGUAGUCC
This 438-nucleotide ribosomal RNA is filed under the name uncultured bacterium. Its description in RNAcentral is "bacterial SSU rRNA". It matches the Rfam family "Bacterial small subunit ribosomal RNA", at positions 354 to 796 of the family's 1533-position model. The record is from RNAcentral.